GAGCACGUCCCAUUUGUUACUGUAUGUUUGAAACGUCACAGCUGUUCUGGUAGCUAAUCAUAUGUCACGUUACUUGAACCGCAGUUACUAUCAUCAUAGGAGGAACUAGUUAGCUUUACAUGCCACACUGAAUAAUCGGUAAACAUUCAGUUGAAAUCGGAAUAUUUAACUUCACAGAUAGGAGCGAUAAAGUAAUUAAGGUAAACAUAACCAUGGAGGAACCAGGUGCUGAUAUAGAGGUGACUGUCAAAACUUUGGACUCCCAGAGCCGAAGUUACACUAUAGGCGGACAGUUGACAGUGAAAGAGUUCAAGGAGCACAUUGCCACUUCAGUGGACAAACAGGCUGAUCUACCAGGGCCGAGUUCUGCAGGAUGAGAGGACCCUGACAGAGUACAUAUCUUGGCAAAUGGUACAUCAUUGCAGCGGCUGGUGUGAAGGAGUCGGAUGUGCAAGCUGUUCAGACAGAUGGACAGCACUGUGUUUCACCUGAAUCAGACCUCUGAAAAGGCACUACUGUUGACCGGAGCCAUGCGCGUUUAAGAGACCAGCUAAAACGCCAUGCGCGUUUUAGCUGACACACAAUCAUACUGGCAGAGAAGCCCACUUGGGGAAUGUCCCAAUAAUCUCUCCUUCCUGAAGUGUGCACUUGUUCACUACUCCCCAGGAAUAUAAAAGCAUUGGAUUUGGAUAUGCAUGGGCUAAAGGGAGUUUCUUUUAACAGUAAUGAGAAACGGAAGAAGAGAGCGAUUAUUUGGAACACGUCCUUGGUCUGUUUCUGACCCAGAUUUGACCCAGUUGUACACAGUUCAACAGGCUUAAUUACACCGUAUAUGGCGUUGCAAUGCUUGUGGACUAUUCUACCCUGACUAACAUUUUCAAAGCGUCAGUGUUGUUUACAAAAUUACAGUAGACGCUGUCUGUGUGAUAAUGCACAUAUCUUUCCAUUUUAGGGGUGGUCAUUGCGUUAUGAAAAACUGGACCUAUACUAUUCAGUCUGGAAAAGAUUAUUUGACAUCACAAGGCAGGCCUGAGCUGCAAACUCUAGUGUGGAGUGGAGAGUGGCUGAACUGCAACCAGUGUAUCCUGCUGCAGGAGAUGGAGCGUCACUUGGAUCCACUAGAGACACACAACACCCUCAACAGAUUCAUGCUUUACGAGCUUUGUCAUUUAAACAAGGCGUAGCACUGAGGCUGCCUGCUAUGUGUUGGAGUCUUCCAUCAAGAUCAUGCUAUGCAUCGAAAUAGGUUUCCUUUUGAGAGUUUAUUAUUAGCGUAUUGCCCACUCUAACUUUGAUCUAACUCAGAAACGUGGAACUAAUUCAAAUGAAGAACUCUCCUCUCAUUUCCCAUGUGUAAUAGUAAAAACAAAGUGGAACUAAUUCAAAUGAAGAACUCUCCUCUCAUUUCCCAUGUGUAAUAGUAAAAACAAAGUGGAACUAAUUCAAAUGAAGAACUCUCCUCUCAUUUCCCAUGUGUAAUAGUAAAAACAAAGUGGAACUAAUUCAAAUGAAGAACUCUCCUCUCAUUUCCCAUGUGUAAUAGUAAAAACAAAUAAACAGAAAAAAAGAACAGCUUCUCCAAGUCUAUUCCAAAGUCUCAGAAUGUUUAGAAUGGCACUAAUGACCGAGGCGUAGACGUCUCAGCAUUUUCCAUUGCUCAUUUAAACUUGCAGUGACAUGGCACACAGUUAUCAAGUUUUCGAAGAAGGGCCUAUUUCCAGGCAAAUAUUUCAAUUUCACGCAUUUCUCUUUUUGUGAGGGAUGACUUAACUGUCAUGGUUCACUGAACUGCAUUGUUCCACUCUUUUUGCCUACCUCCAUCAGUGGAGGCUGCUGAGGGGAGGACUGCUCAUAAUAAUGUCUGGAAUGGAGUCAAUGGAAUGGCAUGAAACACCUUUGACUCCAUUCCAGCCAUUAUUAUGAGCAGUCCUCCCCUCAGCAGCCUCCGUUGACCUCUAUCUAAAUACCAUUCAUCAAUUUAGAAAAGAAUCCAGGGCUAGUUUACCGGGGGAGUAGCCUCCCACGCAGUUACACUUACAGUGCAGGGGAAAUUCCCAUGAUGCUGCAGACGGAGCAGAGGCUCAGAGCACACUGUCGUUCACAACUAGAGUGGUCAUCCACAGUUCUCUUCUUCAUUUGCUCUAAUGUAAUAAUACACAGGGUGACUGAAAGCAGAAACGGUGAAAUUUGCUUUCACUUGUCCUUUUAUUUCUUGUAAGGUUAUUUCUUUGACCUGCAGUUCGAAAUCAAGAAAAUAUGGGUAUAUGAAGGGGUAGACUAGGGAUUUGGGGUGCAUUGGAUACAUUGUACAUGUCAUUUCUAUGGCUUAAAUACAAUAACAUUUGAGGCCAGACUCCCAUGUCUGGUCCUAUAAAAACACCUACAGUAUACACUACAUAGCUAACAAUGUCACCAUUCAAGUACCUCUGUGUUUCAACUAUGCCCGGGGCUAAUAUGAAUGUCAGAAAAUAUCCUGAAACCAUGAUGAAAUCCUUGUCUCGCUCCCUCCCCCUCUCCACUUAUCUCUCUGAUUUACGCACUUUCAAAGACUUGUGACGCACCAACAUGAAGACACUUGACUUCCCAGAUGCACUUUGGCAUGAAACAACUUGUUGACCGACAGAAAGUACAGAGUACAGUGUAAGAAUUUACUUCCUGUCUCUGUCAGAAUGACUUUAGAUCCUUACCUUUCUCUCACCUGUACGAUGUCCAUAAUAGGACAGCCUCAAUCUCAGCAGGACAUCUUUCAGUCUCAGUAGGACUUGUUUCAAUAAGUUAAUAUAGUCACAGUACGGCAGAGAUUCUAUUCCCAGUGUGUUCCUCUUCAUUUCAGUAUAGUUUCUCAAAUAUCAAUGCCAUUUACAGUAUAUGAAAACAUAUCUUGUUAAGCCCAAGAAUAGGAAGUCAAACUCCCCUGCAUAAUAUUUCAUUACUGUCAAACGAUGGUUCUUCCAGCCCACCUCUAACACAGCUGAUUGUUGUUGAGCAGUUCGCUAGUUAUAUUGAUGAGCAGUUCACUAGUGAAACACUAAUCAGAUGGUAGUGCUGGGCAGAAACACCCUUUAGUUCUCCCUGACCAGGAAUGGUGACCGCUGGUGUAUAUACCAAUAUUGAGCCGAACACAUCUACGAAGCUGUACAGAUUGACAUCAAAUGAUCUAAAACUGGACAGAAACUGAUCAAUGAUAUGAAACUGGACAGAAACUGAUCAAUGAUCUAAAACAGAACAGAAACAGAAUAGAAACUGAACAGAACAUGAUUAGAUUGAUGCCAGAAGGUUUCUGCUUUCAACAACAGUAGUGCCUGAACUUCUGCAUUUCAGGAAGAUGGGGAAAAGACUUAAAGGCUAACAUGAUUGAAGGCCUUGUCUGAGAACUUUGCCUGCAUUGGGUCAAGGCAGGUACGGGUCGAUAAUCCAGAGUGGGAGCCAAGGUACAGGACGGCAGGCAGACGGGCUCAGAGUCAGGACAGGCAAUGGUCAAAACCUGGAGGGUGAGAAAAGAGACUGGGGAAAAGCAGGAUCUGAGAAACAAAACGCUGGUUCACUUGACAAACAAGACGACCUGGCAACAGACAAACAGAGAACACAGGUAUAAGUACCCAGGGGAUAAUGGGGAAGAUGGGCGACACCUGGAGGGGGUGGAGACCAGCACAAGGACCGAUGAAACAGAUCAGGGCAUGACACUGGCUAUUUCCAUGCCCUAUGUAUGUAAAGUCAGAUUGAGUCACUGUGGCUGCCAGCUGGUUUAUGAAACCAUGAAGAAAACUCCCUGUCAUGUUUUUGUACCUGUGGAACCCACUGACACUGACCUAUAAAUAUGUGUGGGAAAUCACAUGCCACCCACAUCUGUCAAUGUUGUGCCUGACUCAUCUGUAGCCUUACUAGCCUAUAGUUCCUCGCCACAGGGAUGAUAGUGGUUCUGUCACCUUCUCUUUGUCUGUACUGUCAUACUUGAAUAAAAGUAAAGAUACCUUAAUAGAAAAUGACUCAAGUAAAAGUGAAAGAGAACUGAAUUUUAAAACGGAUUCUAAAUGCAUUUGACAUGUUGAAUAUGUGAAGCUAUGGUAAAUUUGAUAGUUUGCAAAUGUGAUACGCAGACAAUGUAUGCAAUAUCCACCACAUUGAAACAGAAUAUAUAAAUAUUGAAUUUGAAUUUUCAAUUAAGUUGUAAUAUAAUUUUAAAUCUGAAUGCAAUAUUCAUUCAAUUACUUUUUCAAAUCAUGAAAUACAAGUUAAAUUGAUUAAUUCUAUGAUUAAAUGUGUGCAUUACAAAUGUAAAAAUAUUGCAUUUGAAUUCAGUAUCUUAAUGUAAAUUUAAAAAAUGUUGAAUUCAAAUAUAGUUUCUGUUGUAUUGAAAUCGCUCUGUAAUUGCUCCAAUCGUUCCUUUUCUGUUCCGCAUCUGAAAUGUACUUUUGGGUGUCAGGAGAAAUGUAUGGGAGUAAAAAGUACAUAUUUUCUUUAGGAAUGUAGUGGAGUAAAAGUGUUAAAAACAUUUU
Molecule: long non-coding RNA, 4496 nt
Organism: Oncorhynchus tshawytscha (Chinook salmon)
Lineage: Eukaryota; Metazoa; Chordata; Actinopteri; Salmoniformes; Salmonidae
Exons: 8
Source: RefSeq, a predicted model, not a curated record